GGUGAAGUGGCUGAGUUAUAGGCAAUAAAUUGUAAAUUUAUGAACGAAAUUUUUUCCUUCACCA
This 64-nucleotide transfer RNA is filed under the name Megacyllene sp. KM-2017. RNAcentral describes it as "tRNA-Tyr". Lineage: Eukaryota; Metazoa; Arthropoda; Insecta; Coleoptera; Cerambycidae. The record is from RNAcentral.